CGCCUUGCCAACGCAAGGGAUUUCAGUAUGUUGCAAGCCAUUUCGACGGCUUGUGCCAUAGAUCUUGUAUGCGCUGUCCAAAUACAAGGCCCGCGCAAAUUUUAAAUACAAGGAG
This 115-nucleotide non-coding RNA is filed under the name unclassified sequences. RNAcentral describes it as "FTHFS RNA". It matches the Rfam family "FTHFS RNA". The record is from RNAcentral.